RNAcentral lists this ribosomal RNA (738 nucleotides) under uncultured archaeon. Its description in RNAcentral is "bacterial SSU rRNA". It matches the Rfam family "Archaeal small subunit ribosomal RNA", at positions 52 to 789 of the family's 1478-position model. The record is from RNAcentral.
UGCGAGUCGAUUGGGUUAGACCCAAGGCGUACUGCUCAGUAACACGUGGAUAACCUACCCUCAGGUGGGGGAUAAUCUCGGGAAACCGAGGAUAAUACCCCAUAGGUCUAGGAUGUUGGAAUGCUUCUAGGCUCAAAGUUCCGACGCCUGAGGAUGGGUCUGCGGUCUAUCAGGUAGUAGUGAGGGUAAUGGCCUCACUAGCCGACGACGGGUACGGGCCUUGAGAGAGGUAGCCCGGAGAUGGAUUCUGAGACACGAAUCCAGGCCCUACGGGGCGCAGCAGGCGCGAAAACUGCGCAAUGCGCGCAAGCGCGACGCGGGAACUCCAAGUGCCGUUGUUGCUUCGGUGAUGACGGCUGUUUAGAUCCCUAAAAAGCAUCUAGAGUAAGGGCUGGGUAAGACCGGUGCCAGCCGCCGCGGUAAUACCGGCAGCCCAAGUGGUGACCACUAUUAUUGGGUCUAAAACGUCCGUAGCCGGCCUGGUAAAUCCUUCGGUAAAUCGAACGGCUUAACCGUUCGGCCUCGUGGGAGACUGCUAGGCUUGGGACCGGGAGAGGUUAGAGGUACUCCUGGGGUAGGGGUGAAAUCCUGUAAUCCUAGGGGGACCACCAGUGGCGAAGGCGUCUAACUUGAACGGGUUCGACGGUAAGGGACGAAAGCCAGGGGCGCAAACGGGAUUAGAUACCCCGGUAGUCCUGGCCGUAAACGCUGCGGGCUUGGUGUUGGGGGUCCUACGAG